Molecule: long non-coding RNA, 1091 nt
Organism: Zingiber officinale
Lineage: Eukaryota; Viridiplantae; Streptophyta; Magnoliopsida; Zingiberales; Zingiberaceae
Exons: 4
Source: RefSeq, a predicted model, not a curated record
GAGCUCGUAAGACGGGUUUUGAGGGGAUCAAUUUCGGGUUCGGAUUAAAGUCUGUUUGGGAUACCCGUUUAAGUGAGGAAAAGUUUUAAUUAUAAAUUUCCUUUUCUUAUUUCUUUUUCCCGAACCCGACUUAAUCCUUUAGCCGAUACUUCUUCCUCUCUUCUUCCCCGACUCCCUUCCUCUUCUCUCUGUAUCUCGCGGACGCUGCGACGUCGAGGCUGGAUCGGGCAGCGACGCCACCAGGGAAAUUGAUCGCCGGCGGCUGAGCACUUCCUUCCACCACCGUCCACCAGAUCGGGGAGGGGAUUUGUUGGUUUGACGCCGCUGGAUCGAGCCAUGCCAUCGCCGAUCGUCGGCGUGAAGGGGGGGGGGGCAAUUAGGGUUCCACGGGUCCGUCCCGUCGCCAGUGCUCUGCAUUCGGAUCACUGCUUCAUGUGAGUAGAUCUAGCCCUAGCCUAGACCUUUCCUCUUCAUCGCCGGCUUGGAUCUAUUAUCUUGGGUUCUAGCUUCGAUUUCACACACGGUUGUGUUGUGGGGUUGGUGGACAGCAGCUCGAACCGGGCAGAGGUGAGGUUCUGUUCUUCUCUUGCUGUGGUGUUUUUGGUUUCGGCAGGCACCUCAUCCAGUAGGUGUGCUGGUUCUAGCAUCAACAGCAUUUGAGAUCAAGGAUUCUGAUUCGAGACAGGCGUCUCGACGUUGAUUUCGGAUUUGGGAUUGUACCUUCUAUUUGAGGCGGGUACCCUUUGACUUAUCUUGUUGAUAUUUUCUUGUGAUAUGUGCAGUUUAUAUAUGUUUACUAGUAAUUGGUAGAUCUUUCUCUUCUCUGGUUAUAGUAUUCUAUACCUGUAGGCGAUUAUUAGCGAUUGGUAGUUAGCAUAUUCCCUGGUUUAGUUAUUUGAUACUUGAUACAUGUUGCUACGAUUAGCAUCUAUACCUUAGUCUAGCAUGUUUUUCUUUCUUGCUAUACUUAUCUGUGUUCAUAGAGAUGCAUAUCUAUAGUGCUCUACUCUACUGGAUUAGUUGCUUUACAUGUGUGAUACAUGCUCUUGGAUUCAUGAUACUUACAUCAUUGUUAUAUGUGAUGUCUUUGG